RNAcentral lists this non-coding RNA (122 nucleotides) under Gallus gallus (chicken). RNAcentral describes it as "GGN103 snRNA". It matches the Rfam family "U4atac minor spliceosomal RNA". Rfam says of the family: U4atac is an essential component of the minor U12-type spliceosome complex which is required for removal of the rarer class of eukaryotic introns (AT-AC, U12-type). Lineage: Eukaryota; Metazoa; Chordata; Aves; Galliformes; Phasianidae. The record is from RNAcentral.
AACCGUCCUUAUCUUGGGGUUGCGCGGCCGCUCGAUGAACGCGUGGUGAGAGCGGCACUGCUAACGCCUGAGCAACACACCGAGCGCCCGCGUGCGCGCGCGGCGCAAUUUUUGGAACCUCG